This 132-nucleotide small nucleolar RNA is filed under the name Clytia hemisphaerica. RNAcentral's name for it is "small Cajal body specific RNA 8". It matches the Rfam family "Small Cajal body specific RNA 8". From Rfam's summary of the family: scaRNAs are a specific class of small nuclear RNAs which localise to the Cajal bodies and guide the modification of RNA polymerase II transcribed spliceosomal RNAs U1, U2, U4, U5 and U12. U92 belong to the H/ACA box class of guide RNAs as it has the predicted hairpin-hinge-hairpin-tail structure, conserved H/ACA-box motifs and is found associated with GAR1. Lineage: Eukaryota; Metazoa; Cnidaria; Hydrozoa; Leptothecata; Clytiidae. The record is from Rfam by way of RNAcentral.
CGGGAUUCAGAUACACAAGUAAUAGAGAAGCAUUUUAUUACUCGUCAUGAAGAUCCCAACAUCAAACUUUAGCUUUAUGAUGACCACUUAGGCUUAGGAAUUACUAAGUGGACAGAUACGAAGCUUACAAAG